AACGAACGCUGGCGGCAUGCCUAACACAUGCAAGUCGAACGAGACCUUCGGGUCUAGUGGCGCACGUGUGCGUACCGCGUGGGAACUUGCACUUAGGUUCGGAAUCACUCCCCGAAAGGGGUGCUAAUACCGGUUAAUGUCUUCGGACCAAAGAUUUAUCGCCUUUGGAUGGGCCCGCGUUGGAUUAGCUAGUUGGUAGGGUACAAGCCUACCAAGGCGACGAUCCAGAGCUGGUCUGAGAGGAUGAUCAGCCACACUGGGACUGAGACACGGCCCAGACUCCUACGGGAGGCAGCAGUGGGGAAUAUUGGACAAUGGGCGAAAGCCUGAUCCAGCAAUGCCGCGUGAGUGAUGAAGGCCUUAGGGUUGUAAAGCUCUUUUACCCGGGAUGAUAAUGACAGUACCGGGAGAAUAAGCGCCGGCUAACUCCGUG
RNAcentral lists this ribosomal RNA (433 nucleotides) under uncultured bacterium. Its description in RNAcentral is "partial 16S ribosomal RNA". It matches the Rfam family "Bacterial small subunit ribosomal RNA", at positions 29 to 507 of the family's 1533-position model. The record is from RNAcentral.